Long non-coding RNA from Ornithorhynchus anatinus (platypus), 727 nucleotides. RefSeq lists it as uncharacterized. The record is from RefSeq and is a predicted model, not a curated record. The transcript has 2 exons. Lineage: Eukaryota; Metazoa; Chordata; Mammalia; Monotremata; Ornithorhynchidae.
CAGAGUUCUCCUAACGAGGGAGCGAGCUAUCUCUCCCUGACAGCAGACAACGGCGUUUCAGCCAUGUCCUAUUAGUGCUCUCCGUACCGCCGGACGCGAGGCCGAGCCGGCCGGCUCGGCGGUCGCUCACAUUUCUGGGAGGCCGGCGGGGAACCUCAGAGAUGAUCAUUUAAACUGAUUUACUUCUGGCUUUAUGACCGCAGGGAGCGGCUGAAACAACGAGAAAAUCCCCUACCCCCGGCUAACCCGAAUAUUUUAUUGACUGCAAAUAAACUCCGUGGCAGGUGCCGGCAGGGAGAUAAUAUUAUAAUCAAGUAUUCGGAGAAGGUUAGGUUGGCCCUAUUCUCUCUAUAUUGAAUAAUCUCUCAAUUUGCCGACUCAUUUCCGGAAAACAAGACACGCGUAUUUCUGAGAGGGGACGCGGACAAGCCUCGGAACGCCGCGGGACUUGGCGAAAUCGCCGAAGACGACGAUAGCGUUCUCUCGGGAUGAAGAAUCGAAUCGCUUGCUGGCUAGUUGAGGCUCGAGGCGAAGAGAUUUCACCGUUGACGGACCAGCAGCAGAGACCGUGGGGCCAGUGGGAGCCGAUCACGGUGUCGCAUUUGAAAAGCGCGGAGUAAAUAAGUCCGUGACUGUGAAUGUUCAGCUUUUCCCUCUGCCGCCUGGUUGUAGCAAACCUCACCGGCUGUCUUGGGAAAAAUGGUCCGUCUCAAACGGUCUUUCCUGG